CAGCAGCCGCGGUAAUACGUAUGUCACAAGCGUUAUCCGGAUUUAUUGGGCGUAAAGCGCGUCUAGGUGGUUAUGUAAGUCUGAUGUGAAAAUGCAGGGCUCAACUCUGUAUUGCGUUGGAAACUGUGUAACUAGAGUACUGGAGAGGUAAGCGGAACUACAAGUGUAGAGGUGAAAUUCGUAGAUAUUUGUGGGAAUGCCGAUGGGGAAGCCAGCUUACUGGACAGAUACUGACGCUAAAGCGCGAAAGCGUGGGUAACAAACAGGAUUAGAUACCCCCGUAGUCCCUGUCUCUUAUACA
Molecule: ribosomal RNA, 301 nt
Filed under: uncultured bacterium
Lineage: Bacteria
Description: partial 16S ribosomal RNA
Rfam family: Bacterial small subunit ribosomal RNA
Source: RNAcentral